Molecule: long non-coding RNA, 487 nt
Organism: Folsomia candida
Lineage: Eukaryota; Metazoa; Arthropoda; Collembola; Entomobryomorpha; Isotomidae
Exons: 2
Source: RefSeq, a predicted model, not a curated record
GCAAGAGCCGUGUCGACUGGGGGCGGUGAUAAGCGUGGGGAUAAUCUUGCAGUGGCCUCUGCUCAAGGGAAACAUGUUAUCAGCAGUGCUAGCUCGGACGCUCUGACUGCGGCGGAUGCAGACAAUGACAUGGAAGUCAUUGUCGACCCAAACCAACUAAAGAGCAGUGUGGACAAGGAUUUUAGCAUAGUUGAUGAACAAUUAAAAAGUCGAAAGAAAAGGGCAGGAUGAUUUUCAAGUAAAUGUGUAGUAUUAUCAUUAUUCAUUAGUAUGCAUACAUAAAUAAUUUGCAUAGUUUUGUAAUUUUUGUUAUUUAAUCAUUCUUAGACGAUCCGAUUAACAAUAUUUAGUUUGAUUUUACCCAUGUUUUUUCUUACCGUCUGAUUGUAUAUGAUUUUGAUGCUUAGCAUGUUGAUCUUGUUUGGGCGCAAUCAUGAUCAUGUAGCUGAUUAAUCGUUGCAAGCUUUGAUCAACCAAGCGAUGUUCC